Molecule: long non-coding RNA, 4659 nt
Organism: Lagopus leucura (white-tailed ptarmigan)
Lineage: Eukaryota; Metazoa; Chordata; Aves; Galliformes; Phasianidae
Exons: 2
Source: RefSeq, a predicted model, not a curated record
GCCUGUCCAGGGCAUGUCGGCAGGCCUGGUACCAUGGCACCGCAGUACAGCUGCAAGCAGCAUGAGCUGCUCACGGGAUCUGUGUUCCCUUUGAUUUAACGAUUCCAAUUAAAGACAGAGGAGAAGUUGGUGGUGUUUGAGGAUUUGGAGAGGGUGAUAAUGCUGCUUGAAGAAUGUGAGGUGGUUUGAAAGCCAUGGGGAAAAGUACAGUGAGAAAUGGGGGUGCCUGGUGGCUUUGGUAAUGGGCAUGUAUCAGAAGGCAGAAUAUGGAGAGUGCAUCUAUUACAUCACAGUAGGCAUCUGCUGUAGUAAGGGUCUUUCUAGGGACUAGGUUUCUCACUGCUGGCAAGCACUGCUUAUCAAAGACAAUACCAGUUUCUGGCAAAGGGUUUGAGUUGUUUCUUUUGGAAUAAGGAAGAGGAGAAACUGGGACUCAGGUGAGAAGGAGAGUCUGAAAUGGCGUUUUUGUACUCAGUGGGGCUUGGUCUCGGGUUGUGCACACAGUGAAGGAUAUGAGUGAGAGCAAAAAGCCUCUGGGGAAAGCAGCCACUAGGAAGGAGGAGGUAGUGCAACGCCUUAGGAGGAAGUGUGGAAAUGGAAAAAGCAUCUUCCACAUUCAACAGCAGCAGUAGUUGGCUGAUGGGUUUUCCCCACCAGACAGAUCUCCUCCAAAUGAUGUCUGAGGCCUUGGGAUCUGGCAUUUGCUGAGCAGAGGACGUAACUCUGCAUUGACAAUGUGUGGUGGAGUGACAGCUCAUGCCAAGUGACAUUUCUGCUUUCUCAAGGCUGAAAUGCCUUUAGUAUGUUCCUAUCUCUUGACUAUGGUGUUCCUGUUAUGCUUCUGUGUCAUCCGAUGAUGCCAGUUCGGAGAACCAGAGAGGGAGAUCUGCAGAAUGUGUGGGUUUUGGGCAGCAGUGAGGGAAGACUUGUGUCCUCUUUAAUUUGCAGAUACAUCAAGGUGGUGGAAAAUGGGUGGAACGGAUGAGGGCUGCUUGUGAGUGUAUGUUUUCCUCUUACUGUAGGCUUCUGCCAGUACUUUCCAGACAUCUGCUACUUUUCAAGGUCUAAAAGGCUGCACUGAGCUCCUGGGACUAAUUUAUGUUAGGUAGUCCUGUACCUGCAGUGUUCUGUUCUAUUAUCUUUUGUUCUGGGUAGUUGUUUUAAAGCAGUACAAAAUUGUAUGGAAGAACACUGCUAUGUUUCUGGUGACCAUGUGAGCUUCAAAGAGAACAAACCAACAGCCAGAAGAACUACAGUCUUGUCAUGGGGUGAGAAUCCACUUUGAUUACAUAGCAUGAGCACUUAAACGAAAUCAAGACUCUCAGGCUGAAGGUGUCCUGUAGUGGUAGAAGUGAGUUCUGAACUGGGGAAAGCUGCCAAAGCAAUAGGGAUGUGAUAUAGUGGUGGAUUUGGUAGCGUUAGAUGAUGGUUGAACUUGAUGAUUUUAUAAAUCCUUUCUGAUCUAAAUGAUUCUGUGAUUCUGUAAUGCUUUCUUAUGCCAAGACUGAACCAAAACUGAACUCCUCAUUCUGAAGAUAAAUAAUACUUUGCACCUUUAGUACAAAGAUCUCAGGACACUUUAAUAAACCACAAAUGAAUCAUCCUAAUACUCCCUGUGUAAGGAGACUGAAAUUAUCUUCUUGUUUCAUAGCAAUUCAAAUCAUGAGAUUAAAUGACUUGUCUAUUUCACUUUUCAGAUCUGGGAACAGAAUCUGUGAGAUAAAAGUCCCAAUACAGUCUUUUUACUGAGAGGUCUUGUAACUGCUUAGUCUUGUAAUCGCUGAUGUACUUCUUGCUUCUUUUCUUUGAUACCUACUCCUGAAUGCAGGAACUAAAAUAACACCCAUCCAGUUCUGUAAUGAAAGUGUCAUCCGUGAGAGAGAGCAGGAGCAGGUUAGGACUCCUUCCCAGCUUUGGGUAUGCAUGUGAGCUCCAAAAGCAGUACUAGGUGCAAGCAGCAGACAGCUGGAGAGAGAGUUCUGUGUUGUCAUAAAGAGUGAGGAUCUUGGGCAGACAGAAUGUGGUCCUGCUGUGGGAAGAGCACAGCGAAGUCAGACUGUGUUUUAGCAGGCAGGGAUUGCUGUUCUAACAAAGGGGCAAGCAAGCUGCUGAUGGAUCUUGUGUUGCUUUGCAAAGGUACAAUGACCAUGUGCUGAGCUGGGAUGAAUCGGCUGGACUUUGCUGCUCUGAGCAGUUGCCUGAUGAGUGUAGUUGUGAACCUGUGCAACUUCACAGCUUCCCACCUGCAUCACAUCCAGCGCUCAAGUGGUGCAGGUCAGCAAAUUUCAAGGCCAGUGCAAUGCUAUCCCAUUCAUAAGUGGCAAAAAGCCACAUAUCUGCAUAUCCAUCACUGCUUUGUAGUUCUUUGCUCUGCUAAGCAUGCUAAUGAGGAAUAGUCAUUACCCUUAAAUGCCUGAAAUCUACAAAGGAAUGACUAUUUUCUCUGGGCCUAUAAUAUAUUUUGCUGCCUUGUGCUUGACUUCCCUUGUUGCCCUUCAGAACAGAGUCUGAACAGCUGGUUUCCCUGCUUUGGAGUACCCACUGGCUUGCUUCAGCCUGGAGCCAAGCUCACAUUCAGAUCCUGCUUGGAAAAAUUUCAAUCACGUCCUGUGGGUUGUGCUGGCACUCAUCAAGAAUGUAUUGCCCCCUGCUCCAUGAAGGCCUCAUGCUGAUACUGUACCUAUUCUGGGACAGGAGAAUAGGAAGGGAUCACCACAGUCCACGCAUCGUCCAUUCAAAAAAUCCUGAUGACUUGUGCAAGGGAAUGCCACGAUAGGACAGGAAUGUUUCAAGGCACUGACAUAGAGAUGUACUGCCCUCAUGUGAUCACAGAUCAGAUACUUGUAGCCUGCAGGAAUAAACGCAUGCAGAGAAAAGCAGCCGUCAGCUUUUCAGCUGGUUUUGACCUUUCUGCAGCUUCCUAUGGAACAAAAAGUCAAGAAAUAGAUUCUGCAGCCACUUCCACUCUGCGAAAUAACAUUUUGUAGAACAUCUCUGUGACUGCAAACUGCAAACCUAGAUCUCACCGCAACAGAAAUCAUGCAGAAACCUGGGAGCCUGUCUUUCAUACUGAGAGGGGCACAUGGCUGCCCUAUCUCACUCAUUGUGCCACUGACAAGGACCCAAACCCUCUGUAAAAAGGCAAUAGCUUUGCUUCCCAUCUGCACCAUGACCCCAGCUAUGGGAAGUGAGGUUUCCUAGGCCUCCCUACCCUCAGUGUAGCUGUCUCAACCAGAAGGUGUUUAAAUAUUCAUCCAGCCCUUGCUGCCAAGACAUUUGACUUAUAUGUGGUCUUAAUUCCAGCUGCUUUUUGUGCUGCUGAGGAGAUGUGGGCCAUGAAUCUCCGCUGCUGUGUGCCUUUGCAAAUAAAUGUUGUCAUGCUUUGACGUCUGCUCUGACUGUGGCAGGAGCUGGUUGCCACACAGCAUUUUCACUGAUUGCUAAAUGGCCACGAAAUCUCUUUGCUUGGCCACAGAGUGUUCUCACCUGAGGAGAUGAACCGGGGGCAUCCUGGCUGAUCUUUGCCUCCAUUGACAAAAUAAUCGAUGUGUCCAACAGGGAUGCGGAUCCCAAAAUCUGAAAGUGAAUGAAAUGCAACUUUAUUCCUAUGCUCAGUAGUACCGUAGGCUGUACUCUACAUGGUGUUUGACAGGGCCCAAUAACAGGUUGAAUGUGAGCAGUGCCAGACAUAGCUCCCCCACGACCCAUUUUAUUCACACAGCAAGAACAUAUUUCCUGUUCCUUCUCAGAUGCCCUGGCUUUGUUGCAUGAAGCAGAGGUUGCUCUGGGAUCUGCCAUAAAAAUGUCUGGCAACUUUGUCUUAACCACUAUCUCCAUCAUUCCUGUUCUUGAUCCUGUAUAAAGCAGAGCAAAACUGGACACAACUUUCAUAGGGAAUAACGAGGAAUGAGUGAGAAUUAUAUUAGUAGAGAUUUUUGUAGUCUCCAGGCAAAGGGUGUGACUGAGAGGCAAAUGUUUAUAUUUUAGCACAUUUUAAUUAGCAGAACAUAAGUGUUUUAGGAAAGUUAAUCCAUUGCUGCAACAGCUGUGGGUUUGACUCCAUUACUUUCUCCCAGUGGCACCUUUCUGUUGUCAUGUAAGCAAAAGCAAAGCAUGGUUAGACACGUAAAUUCCUUCCUUGCAAGUGGCAAAAAGCACACUGAGCUUGUUCUGCAGAAACUCACUCUGCUGUAGCAAGGUUAGGGAAGAAAUGUGUGCUGGAAGAUUGCCCUGUGUUUACAGCACUAAAGCUCCCACCUGUUGCUGUGAUGUGCUCUGGGGUAUGGAUGCCUGCCAGUGUGUUCAUCUCUGAAGCCUGUCUAAUCGGGGAACAUCCUCAGACUGGACCGGAACUUGUAGUCAUGUGGCAUAAAUGGGACAAUAACCUGCUUGGUUCUUAGCAAUAACAAUGGCAGGACAAACAGACAUGGCGAGCUGAGGAGGAAAGAAGCCAGCUUACUGUCAGCAUCGGUAUGAAUGGCUUCCACAAAGAGGGCAUCCCCAGGGUCCAGGCGUUCUUCCAGGCUGGCUCUGGUGUAUUUAGGGCCUGCAGGAUCCAGGCCUGCAACGAAAUCAAACAGCCCAACAACAAAUGCUCUUCAGACCCUCCCUUUCUUAGUUCUGGACCAGUAAUUUUAUUUAAAUUGUUUAUUUAAUUGA